Molecule: ribosomal RNA, 497 nt
Filed under: uncultured bacterium
Lineage: Bacteria
Description: partial 16S ribosomal RNA
Rfam family: Bacterial small subunit ribosomal RNA
Source: RNAcentral
GACGAACGCUGGCGGCGUGCCUAAUACAUGCAAGUUGAGCGAUGAAGAUUGGUGCUUGCACCAAUUUGAAGAGCAGCGAACGGGUGAGUAACGCGUGGGGAAUCUGCCUUUGAGCGGGGGACAACAUUUGGAAACGAAUGCUAAUACCGCAUAACAACUUUAAACAUAAGUUUUAAGUUUGAAAGAUGCAAUUGCAUCACUCAAAGAUGAUCCCGCGUUGUAUUAGCUAGUUGGUGAGGUAAAGGCUCACCAAGGCGAUGAUACAUAGCCGACCUGAGAGGGUGAUCGGCCACAUUGGGACUGAGACACGGCCCAAACUCCUACGGGAGGCAGCAGUAGGGAAUCUUCGGCAAUGGACGGAAGUCUGACCGAGCAACGCCGCGUGAGUGAAGAAGGUUUUCGGAUCGUAAAACUCUGUUGGUAGAGAAGAACGUUGGUGAGAGUGGAAAGCUCAUCAAGUGACGGUAACUACCCAGAAAGGGACGGCUAACUACGUG